This 229-nucleotide ribosomal RNA is filed under the name uncultured bacterium. RNAcentral's name for it is "partial 16S ribosomal RNA". It matches the Rfam family "Bacterial small subunit ribosomal RNA", at positions 568 to 796 of the family's 1533-position model. The record is from RNAcentral.
UACGUAGGCGGAAAAUUAAGUCAGUGGUGAAAUCCUGCAGCUUAACUGUAGAACUGUCAUUGGUACUGGUUUUCUUGAAUACAGUUGAGGUAGGCGGAAUGUGUAAUGUAGCGGUGAAAUGCUUAGAUAUUACACAGAACACCGAUUGCGAAGGCAGCUUACUAAACUGUUAUUGACGCUGAGGUACGAAAGCGUGGGGAGCGAACAGGAUUAGAUACCCUGGUAGUCC